This is a long non-coding RNA of Peromyscus leucopus (white-footed mouse), 506 nucleotides long. RefSeq lists it as uncharacterized. NCBI's taxonomy places the organism in Eukaryota, Metazoa, Chordata, Mammalia, Rodentia, Cricetidae. The transcript has 3 exons. The record is from RefSeq and is a predicted model, not a curated record.
CAAGUCUCUGGGAUCCACCUGUUUCCACAACACUGGACUUACAGACACACUCCAGCGCAUCUGGCUUUCCUGUGGGCUCCAGGAUCUGAACUCGGGUUUUCAUGUUUGGGCAGCAAGCAUGUUACCCACUGAGCUAUCUCUCCAGCCCUGUUUUAGGUAUUUGGUUACUGGCACGGAAAGCUGACUCAUACCAUGAACCGACCAAUGCCUGCUGCACACUGGGCCAAUUAGAACCCUUCCCUGGAAUUUUCAAACUGGAACGACACACACCCUUGGAAACUUCCAGCCUCCUGACCAUCAUUUAGAGGUAAGGAUCCAUGGGAUGGAGACAAAACUGAUCCAGCUGAUGCCUUCUGAAGAGCUCACCAUGAGCAGCCGAGAGCAAGUUCACAGCCCCCAGAGAGGAACACAGACAGCAUCAGGUCAUCAAGCUUUCUCCUGUGAGCAACUUCUUUUUCCAUCGAUAUAGACUGAAAACGACAUCAGUCACUUUGGGCAAACGUGAG